RNAcentral lists this unclassified non-coding RNA (231 nucleotides) under uncultured fungus. RNAcentral describes it as "sequence contains ITS1". Lineage: Eukaryota; Fungi. The record is from RNAcentral.
GUAAUAAUUAAUUGUUAUCAGAACAGGUAAUGCUAAAUGCAAGUUGGUUCUUGAAGUCCAGCGGCGGGUAGACCCCGCCGAAGGAGAAUUGUUAGGUACUCGUAGAGAAGGGUUAGGUCAGCCCCGCGCCGGUUGCCCGGAACGGAGGCCUCGCUAGAAUGACCGUCGCUCACGCCGAAGCGCUCACGGCAGCCAAAGGUAAUGAUCCUUCCGCAGGUUCACCUACGGAAA